This 1032-nucleotide ribosomal RNA is filed under the name Triticum aestivum (bread wheat). RNAcentral's name for it is "partial small subunit ribosomal RNA". Lineage: Eukaryota; Viridiplantae; Streptophyta; Magnoliopsida; Poales; Poaceae. The record is from RNAcentral.
AUGGAGAACCAGCGGAGCGCUGUCGGCUGGCGAAUCCACCCUCCUCCGCCUCCCCAUCUCCCCCCUCCACCCCCUCCAUCCACGCAAGGGCAUGACGACCAGAAAUUUGGGGAAAGCCAAGAAAUCUCCAUAGAAGGUACCGCUAAGAAUUCUGGUAGAGCCAAGUGGAAUCAUCAGAUGAAGGCAUAUCUCAUUGAACUCUUAAGAGAUCAUGAUGUUCCCAAAUACCGGACACAAAAUGCAUGGAGUAAAGAGGCCUGGACAAGUAUUGUUGGUAAAUUCAAUCAAAGAUUUGAUUUAUCCUUCACGAUAGUUCAAGUGAAGCAAAAGGAGCAGGAUCUAAAGAGAGAUUUCAAAGCUGUAAAAGACUUAAUAUCUGAAAGUGGUUUUGGCUGGGAUCGUGACAGAAAGAUGGUGGUGGCUCCAGAUAAUGUUUGGGCUGCACUAGAGGCACGUAAAAACAAGGACGCCCUCACGUGGCGAGGAAGGUCAUUUCCAUACUAUGAAGAUCUUUUUGCUCUAUAUGAUGGACGCUAUGCUCAGGGAAGGAGUUGUCGUGGCAUGGAUUAUUAUGCGAACAGAGCAACACAACUCUCACAGUUUCCAACAUCACAUUCACCACAAUUGCAAGGGCUGGAGGCGCAUUUGCACACACCGACUCCAACCAUACAUGCUCCUGGUGAUUCAUCCAUGCAAUUUGACAUUGAAGAGGAUAGUGAAAACACAAAUUGGUUUUCUAGCAAUAAUACAUUCAAUCAAGUGGAGGCAAACUCGGCUCAAGGAAAUGACUUGACAGUACAUGCUCCACAAGUUGAAGCAAUAUCAAUUUCCUCACAACAUGUUGGACAAACCUUGCAUGAAAUUCCACAAGUUGUACAUCGCAAUCGUCGACCAUCUAGCUCAGCUCAUGAGGUUACUAGCAGGAAGAGAGCGAAAAAGCAAAAGACGACCAGUAUUGAUGAUUUUCAUGAGAGAUACCUGAAACUCAGAAGGGAAGAAAUAGAUAGGUAUGCAGCCAGGAGAGUAAAUUAA